AUUGAACGCUGGCGGCAUGCCUUACACAUGCAAGUCGAACGGCAGCACGGGAGCAAUCCUGGUGGCGAGUGGCGAACGGGUGAGUAAUAUAUCGGAACGUGCCCAGUCGUGGGGAUAACGUAGCGAAAGCUACGCUAAUACCGCAUACGAUCUAUGGAUGAAAGCGGGGGAUCGCAAGACCUCGCGCGAUUGGAGCGGCCGAUAUCAGAUUAGGUAGUUGGUGAGGUAAAGGCUCACCAAGCCGACGAUCUGUAGCUGGUCUGAGAGGACGACCAGCCACACUGGGACUGAGACACGGCCCAGACUCCUACGGGAGGCAGCAGUGGGGAAUUUUUGGACAAUGGGCGCAAGCCUGAUCCAGCAAUGCCGCGUGCAGGAAGAAGGCCUUCGGGUUGUAACUGCUUUGUUCAGGG
RNAcentral lists this ribosomal RNA (413 nucleotides) under uncultured bacterium. Its description in RNAcentral is "bacterial SSU rRNA". It matches the Rfam family "Bacterial small subunit ribosomal RNA", at positions 30 to 444 of the family's 1533-position model. The record is from RNAcentral.